This 475-nucleotide ribosomal RNA is filed under the name unidentified nematode Sourhope farm. RNAcentral's name for it is "SSU rRNA". It matches the Rfam family "Eukaryotic small subunit ribosomal RNA", at positions 58 to 529 of the family's 1831-position model. Lineage: Eukaryota; Metazoa; Nematoda. The record is from RNAcentral.
UCUAAGUAUAACCUGCCAGACAGGGAAACUGCGUACGGCUCAUUACACCAGCCUUAAUUUACUUGACCUUGACCACCUACUUGGAUAACUGUGGUNAUUCUAGAGCUAAUACAUGCACCAAAGCUCCGAUCCUCGCGGAGAGGAGCGCAUUUGUUCGCCACAAAACCAAGCGCCCAUCUGGGCGUCCAGUGCUGAACCAGAACAACUCAGCUGAUCGCACGGUCUUGUACCGGCGACGUGUCUUUCAAGUGUCUGCCUUAUCAACUUUCGAUGGUAGUGUACCUGACUACCAUGGUUGUGACGGGUAACGGAGGAUAAGGGUUCGACUCCGGAGAAGGGGCCUGAGAAAUGGCCACUACGUCUAAGGAUGGCAGCAGGCGCGCAAAUUACCCACUCUCAACGCGAGGAGGUAGUGACGAGAAAUAACGAGACCGUUCUCAUACGAGGCCGGUUAUUGGAAUGGGUACAAUUUAAA